Molecule: unclassified non-coding RNA, 396 nt
Filed under: Machilus rimosa
Lineage: Eukaryota; Viridiplantae; Streptophyta; Magnoliopsida; Laurales; Lauraceae
Description: partial miscellaneous RNA
Source: RNAcentral
UACUGGCAGGAUCAACCAGGGAAAGUGAAGAACAAGUAUCCUUUUCCGCGGAUCGACGAGCUCUUCGACUAGCUUCAGGGUGCUAAACACUUUUCGAAUAUAGACUUGAGAUCAGGAUAUCAUCAGCUGCGAGUCAGAGAGCAGAUUGUACAGAAGACAGCGUUUCGUACACGCUAUGGGCACUGCGAGUUCUUAGUGAUGCUAUUCGGAUUGAUGAAUGCACCAGCAGUGUUCAUGGCUUUGAUAAACAAGAUCUUCGCACGUACCUCGCCAACUUCACGGUUGUGUUCAUCGACGACGUGCUAGUCUAUUCAAAGUCCAGAGAAGAGCAUGAGCAACAUUUGAGAACGUCUCUACAUUUGUUGCAUGAUAACCAACUGUAUGCAAAGCUCAGCA